Molecule: ribosomal RNA, 484 nt
Filed under: uncultured bacterium
Lineage: Bacteria
Description: partial 16S ribosomal RNA
Rfam family: Bacterial small subunit ribosomal RNA
Source: RNAcentral
AGUGAACGCUGGCGGCAGGCCUAACACAUGCAAGUCGAGCGGCAGCGGGUCCUUCGGGAUGCCGGCGAGCGGCGGACGGGUGAGGAAUGCAUCGGAAUCUGCCCUGUCGUGGGGGAUAACCUAGGGAAACUUAGGCUAAUACCGCAUACGACCCACGGGUGAAAGCGGGGGAUCGCAAGACCUCGCGCGAUAGGAUGAGCCGAUGUCCGAUUAGCUAGUUGGCGGGGUAAGGGCCCACCAAGGCGACGAUCGGUAGCUGGUCUGAGAGGAUGAUCAGCCACACUGGGACUGAGACACGGCCCAGACUCCUACGGGAGGCAGCAGUGGGGAAUAUUGGACAAUGGGCGCAAGCCUGAUCCAGCCAUGCCGCGUGGGUGAAGAAGGCCUUCGGGUUGUAAAGCCCUUUUGUCCGGGAAGAAAUCGUCUGGGCUAAUACCCCGGGCGGAUGACGGUACCGGAAGAAUAAGCACCGGCUAACUUCGUG